GAUGAAGAACGUAGCGAAAUGCGAUAGGUAGUGUGAAUUGCAGAUGUAACGUGAAUCAUCGAAUCUUUGAACGCAAAUUGCACUCUCUGGUAUUCCGGGGAGUAUGCCUGUUUGAGGGUCGCCAAAUCAAAAUCGAAAUUCAUUUGCUUUUUUGUAAAUGUUUAUCGGAUUUGAGCCGUCUUUUUUUAUUUUUUUUUAAUUAAAGUGGCUUAAAAUGUAUUUUUUUGGUAUCGAAAAACGUUAUUUUACGAUCAAAUUGAUUAAAAAAACAAACGUUUUCGAAUGCCGCCUUUUUAAUGUAAUACGUUUGACUGUGAUGGUUAAUCAUAGUUUCAUUCGUAUACGAUUUUUUAAUUUUUGACCUCAAAUCAGGUAAGAACACCCGCUGAACUUAAGCAUAUCAAUAAGCGGAGGA
This 415-nucleotide unclassified non-coding RNA is filed under the name soil metagenome. RNAcentral's name for it is "partial contains 5.8S ribosomal RNA, internal transcribed spacer 2, and large subunit ribosomal RNA". The stretch from base 1 to 121 matches the Rfam family "5.8S ribosomal RNA", at positions 35 to 154 of the family's 154-position model. The record is from RNAcentral.